Molecule: ribosomal RNA, 764 nt
Filed under: Burkholderiales bacterium 16-04PB
Lineage: Bacteria; Pseudomonadati; Pseudomonadota; Betaproteobacteria; Burkholderiales
Description: bacterial SSU rRNA
Rfam family: Bacterial small subunit ribosomal RNA
Source: RNAcentral
UAUCGGAACGUACCCUGGAGUGGGGGAUAACGUAGCGAAAGUUACGCUAAUACCGCAUACGAUCUAAGGAUGAAAGUGGGGGCUUCGCAAGAACCUCAUGCUCCUGGAGCGGCCGAUAUCUGAUUAGCUAGUUGGUGGGGUAAAGGCCUACCAAGGCAUCGAUCAGUAGCUGGUCUGAGAGGACGACCAGCCACACUGGAACUGAGACACGGUCCAGACUCCUACGGGAGGCAGCAGUGGGGAAUUUUGGACAAUGGGCGAAAGCCUGAUCCAGCAAUGCCGCGUGAGUGAAGAAGGCCUUCGGGUUGUAAAGCUCUUUUGUCAGGGAAGAAACGGUGAGAGCUAAUAUCUCUUGCUAAUGACGGUACCUGAAGAAUAAGCACCGGCUAACUACGUGCCAGCAGCCGCGGUAAUACGUAGGGUGCAAGCGUUAAUCGGAAUUACUGGGCGUAAAGCGUGCGCAGGCGGUUUUGUAAGUCUGUCGUGAAAUCCCCGGGCUCAACCUGGGAAUUGCGAUGGAGACUGCAAGGCUAGAAUCUGGCAGAGGGGGGUAGAAUUCCACGUGUAGCAGUGAAAUGCGUAGAGAUGUGGAGGAACACCGAUGGCGAAGGCAGCCCCCUGGGUCAAGAUUGACGCUCAUGCACGAAAGCGUGGGGAGCAAACAGGAUUAGAUACCCUGGUAGUCCACGCCCUAAACGAUGUCUACUAGUUGUCGGGUUUUAAUUAACUUGGUAACGCAGCUAACGCGUGAAGUAGACCGCCUG